This 497-nucleotide ribosomal RNA is filed under the name uncultured bacterium. Its description in RNAcentral is "partial 16S ribosomal RNA". It matches the Rfam family "Bacterial small subunit ribosomal RNA", at positions 28 to 507 of the family's 1533-position model. The record is from RNAcentral.
GAUGAACGCUGGCGGCGUGCCUAAUACAUGCAAGUCGAGCGAACGGACGAGAAGCUUGCUUCUCUGAUGUUAGCGGCGGACGGGGGAGUAACACGUGGAUAACCUACCUAUAAGACUGGGAUAAAUUCGGGAAACCGGAGCUAAUACCGGAUAAUAUUUUGAACCGCAUGGUUCAAAAGUGAAAGACGGUCUUGCUGUCACUUAUAGAUGGAUCCGCGCUGCAUUAGCUAGUUGGUAAGGUAACGGCUUACCAAGGCAACGAUGCAUAGCCGACCUGAGAGGGUGAUCGGCCACACUGGAACUGAGACACGGUCCAGACUCCUACGGGAGGCAGCAGUAGGGAAUCUUCCGCAAUGGGCGAAAGCCUGACGGAGCAACGCCGCGUGAGUGAUGAAGGUCUUCGGAUCGUAAAACUCUGUUAUUAGGGAAGAACAUAUGUGUAAGUAACUGUGCACAUCUUGACGGUACCUAAUCAGAAAGCCACGGCUAACUACGUG